Molecule: transfer RNA, 71 nt
Filed under: Loxodonta africana (African savanna elephant)
Lineage: Eukaryota; Metazoa; Chordata; Mammalia; Proboscidea; Elephantidae
Rfam family: tRNA
About the family: Transfer RNA (tRNA) molecules are approximately 80 nucleotides in length.
Source: Rfam by way of RNAcentral
GCAUUGGUGACUCAAGGGUAGAAUUCUCGGCUUCCAUGCACGAGGCCCAGGUUUGAUUCCUGGCCAACGCA